Molecule: ribosomal RNA, 238 nt
Filed under: uncultured bacterium
Lineage: Bacteria
Description: partial 16S ribosomal RNA
Rfam family: Bacterial small subunit ribosomal RNA
Source: RNAcentral
GAUCCUGGCUCAGGAUGAACGCUGGCGGCGUGCCUAACACAUGCAAGUCGAACGAAGCAAUUAAGAGGAAGUUUUCGGAUGGAAUCUUGGUUGACUGAGUGGCGGACGGGUGAGUAACGCGUGGAUAACCUGCCUCACACUGGGGGAUAACAGUUAGAAAUGACUGCUAAUACCGCAUAAGCGCACGCUACCGCAUGGUAGUGUGUGAAAAACUCCGGUGGUGUGAGAUGGAUCCGCG